AACUAAACAUUCACGAGUAAUAUGAUUCAUUUUAGAUCAUAUACAUUGCACCCAUCUAGUAAUUUAUCAAACUCUUACCUUCAUUACAUCAUUUCAUCAUUUCUUUCUUACAUUACAUUUACCUCAAAAUAAGCUUUACAUUCUUUCUUUAUAUCACUAAUCAUCACAUACAAAAGAUGAUCAUAAGGUACUUUACUACAAAAUGAAAUCCAACAUUGGUGGCCUCUGUCUAAGGCGCGAUACCUUUACCUCGGUAUAUUACAUUCUCCACCCCUUAAAAUAAUUUCGUUCGCGAAAUUACGCAUACCUUAGCUCGUCGAUUCGAAUAGAUGCGGGUACUCCCGCCGCAUCGACUCCUCGA
RNAcentral lists this long non-coding RNA (361 nucleotides) under Ananas comosus (pineapple). RNAcentral describes it as "long non-coding RNA (ACOM_LNC041229)". The record is from RNAcentral. Lineage: Eukaryota; Viridiplantae; Streptophyta; Magnoliopsida; Poales; Bromeliaceae.